UCUUCCGCAAUGGACGAAAGUCUGACGGAGCAACGCCGCGUGAGUGAUGAAGGUUUUCGGAUCGUAAAACUCUGUUGUGAGGGAAGAACAAGUACCGUUCGAAUAGGGCGGUACUUUGACGGCACCUAACCAGAAAGCCACGGCUAACUACUUGCCAGCAGCCGCGGUAAUACGUAGGUGGCAAGCGUUGUCCGGAAUUAUGGGGCGUAAGGCGCGCGCAGGCGGUUUCUUAAGUCUGAUGUGAAAGCCCACGGCUCAACCGGGGAGGGUCAUUGGAAACUGGGGAACUUGAGUGCAGAAGAGGAGAGUGGAAUUCCACGUGUAGCGGUGAAAUGCGUAGAGAUGUGGAGGAACACCAGUGGCGGAGGCGACUCUCUGGUCUGUAACUGACGCUGAGGCGCGAAAGCGUGGGGAGCGAACAGG
RNAcentral lists this ribosomal RNA (423 nucleotides) under uncultured bacterium. RNAcentral describes it as "bacterial SSU rRNA". It matches the Rfam family "Bacterial small subunit ribosomal RNA", at positions 362 to 776 of the family's 1533-position model. The record is from RNAcentral.